Molecule: long non-coding RNA, 760 nt
Organism: Lynx canadensis (Canada lynx)
Lineage: Eukaryota; Metazoa; Chordata; Mammalia; Carnivora; Felidae
Exons: 3
Source: RefSeq, a predicted model, not a curated record
UGGCUGAAGUUGGACGCUUAACUGACUGCGCCACCCAGGCGUCCUUACCCAUCUUAUUUUUUGAUGCAUUUCCAAGGGAGUUGCAGACUAUCCACCGGAGCACCACAGGAUGGCUCCCCACAGAGGGCAGCAGGCUAACUGGGCAGCUGGUUGUUUGAUCCAACGUUAGAAGACUGCAUUUCAUGAGAACCAAGACAACAUCUCCUCUAGCUGUCUGGGCCAGCAGUGUGCGUCACACCACAGACUGCCUGCCCAGCCACUUCUUUCCGGUUCCUGUUUUUGUCUGAAAAAUGGCAAAGUUGGGAAUUAAAAAUGAGUUGUAAAAGCCCCCGCGUGAUUCUUUGUAGUCAAAUGUAAAUGUAAAUAAAAGCAUACUAGGUUUGGAAAUCAAAUAUAAAAGUGCAUACGGUAUUAAUCCCUUUUUAAAGGAAAUUUAAAUAUAUCCAAUGAAAUAGCUCAGCUACUCCCUCUUCCUUUUGUGUUUUCAGCCUUUGUCAGAACACUGGUUCUCCAGCCUUAGAUUACACAGAUGCUGUAGUUUCCCUUUGCCUGAUGCCCGUUCCCUGGUAACUAACUGCACUUUUCUUUACGAACUCAUUUUAAUCUCAUGCUUCACCAAAUGCAAUCUGAUCGUGCCCUCAAGAAAUUGCUUUAUCAAAACUGGCCAAUCCCUAACCCCAUUUGCCACUGUCAGGUCAUUAUUCUGUCCGCCUUUUUUUUUUUUUUUUUAAUGAUUAUUUAUUUUUGAGAGAGAGAGACU